UACGGAGGGUGCGAGCGUUGCUCGGAAUCACUGGGCGUAAAGGGUGCGUAGGCGGGUCUUUAAGUCAGGGGUGAAAUCCUGGAGCUCAACUCCAGAACUGCCUUUGAUACUGAAGAUCUUGAGUUCGGGAGAGGUGAGUGGAACUGCGAGUGUAGAGGUGAAAUUCGUAGAUAUUCGCAAGAACACCAGUGGCGAAGGCGGCUCACUGGCCCGAUACUGACGCUGAGGCACGAAAGCGUGGGGAGCAAACAGG
Molecule: ribosomal RNA, 253 nt
Filed under: uncultured bacterium
Lineage: Bacteria
Description: partial 16S ribosomal RNA
Rfam family: Bacterial small subunit ribosomal RNA
Source: RNAcentral